UGGGGAAUCUUCCGCAAUGGACGAAAGUCUGACGGAGCAACGCCGCGUGAGUGAUGACGGCCUUCGGGUUGUAAAGCUCUGUUAAUCGGGACGAAUGGUUCUUGUGCGAAUAGUGCAAGGAUUUGACGGUACCGGAAUAGAAAGCCACGGCUAACUACGUGCCAGCAGCCGCGGUAAUACGUAGGUGGCAAGCGUUGUCCGGAAUUAUUGGGCGUAAAGCGCGCGCAGGCGGAUUGGUCAGUCUGUCUUAAAAGUUCGGGGCUUAACCCCGUGAUGGGAUGGAACCUGCCAAUCUAGAGUAUCGGAGAGGAAAGUGGAAUUCCUAGUGUAGCGGUGAAAUGCGUAGAUAUUAGGAAGAACACCAGUGGCGAAGGCGACUUUCUGGACGAAAACUGACGCUGAGGCGCGAAAGCCAGGGGAGCGAACGGG
Molecule: ribosomal RNA, 429 nt
Filed under: bacterium
Lineage: Bacteria
Description: partial 16S ribosomal RNA
Rfam family: Bacterial small subunit ribosomal RNA
Source: RNAcentral